Molecule: ribosomal RNA, 492 nt
Filed under: uncultured bacterium
Lineage: Bacteria
Description: partial 16S ribosomal RNA
Rfam family: Bacterial small subunit ribosomal RNA
Source: RNAcentral
AGUGAACGCUGGCGGUAGGCCUAACACAUGCAAGUCGAACGGCAGCACAGUAAGAGCUUGCUCUUACGGGUGGCGAGUGGCGGACGGGUGAGGAAUACAUCGGAAUCUACUUUUUCGUGGGGGAUAACGUAGGGAAACUUACGCUAAUACCGCAUACGACCUACGGGUGAAAGCAGGGGAUCUUCGGACCUUGCGCGAUUGAAUGAGCCGAUGUCGGAUUAGCUAGUUGGCGGGGUAAAGGCCCACCAAGGCGACGAUCCGUAGCUGGUGUGAGAGGAUGGUCAGCCGCACUGGAACUGAGACACGGUCCAGACUCCUACGGGAGGCAGCAGUGGGGAAUAGUGGACAAUGGGCGCAAGCCUGAUCCAGCCAUACCGAGUGGGUGAAGAAGGCCUUCGGGUUGUAAAGCCCUUUUGUUGGGAAAGAAAAGCAGCAGGUUAAUACCCCGCUGUUCUGACGGUACCCAAAGAAUAAGCACCGGCUAACUUCGUG